RNAcentral lists this ribosomal RNA (1183 nucleotides) under uncultured bacterium. RNAcentral describes it as "bacterial SSU rRNA". It matches the Rfam family "Bacterial small subunit ribosomal RNA", at positions 202 to 1396 of the family's 1533-position model. The record is from RNAcentral.
AAGUUCCGGCGUCUUGAGAUGAGCCUGCGGCUGAUUAGCUAGUUGGUGGGGUAAAGGCCUACCAAGGCGACGAUCAGUAGCUGGUCUGAGAGGAUGACCAGCCACAAUGGGACUGAGACACGGCCCAUACUCCUACGGGAGGCAGCAGUAGGGAAUAUUGCGCAAUGGGCGAAAGCCUGACGCAGCAACACCGCGUGAGGGAUGAAGCUUCUUGGAGUGUAAACCUCUGUCAGUGGGGACGAAAUUUGACUGUACCCACAGAGGAAGCAUCGGCUAACUACGUGCCAGCAGCCGCGGUAAGACGUAGGAUGCAAGCGUUGUCCGGAUUUAUUGGGCGUAAAGAGUUCGUAGGUGGUUUAUCAAGUCUGGUGUUAAAGCCCGAGGCUCAACCUCGGUUCGGCACUGGAUACUGGUAGACUAGAGUACAGGAGAGGCAAGGGGAAUUCCCAGUGUAGCGGUGAAAUGCGUAGAUAUUGGGAGGAACACCGGUGGCGUAAGCGCCUUGCUGGACUGUUACUGACGCUGAGGAACGAAAGCCAGGGGAGCAAAUGGGAUUAGAUACCCCAGUAGUCCUGGCCGUAAACGAUGGAUACUAGGUGUUAUGGGUAUCGACCCCCGUAGUGCCGUAGCUAACGCGUUAAGUAUCCCGCCUGGGGAGUACGCACGCAAGUGUGAAACUCAAAGGAAUUGACGGGGGCCCGCACAAGCGGUGGAACAUGUGGUUUAAUUCGAAGCAACGCGAAGAACCUUACCAGGACUUGACAUCCAAGGAAUCCUGCGGAAACGCGGGAGUGCCUUUCGGGGAACCUUGAGACAGGUGGUGCAUGGUUGUCGUCAGCUCGUGUCGUGAGAUGUUGGGUUAAGUCCCGCAACGAGCGCAACCCUCGUUGUUAGUUGCUGGCAAAAGCAUGCUUUUGUCGAGCUCUCUAGCGAGACUGCCGGUGAUAAACCGGAGGAAGGUGGGGAUGACGUCAAAUCAUCAUGCCCCUUAUGUUCUGGGCUACACACGUGUUACAAUGGGUAGGACAACGAGCAGCCAGCUGGCAACAGUGAGCGAAUCUCAUAAACCUAUCCCCAGUUCGGAUCGAAGUCUGCAACUCGACUUCGUGAAGUCGGAAUCGCUAGUAACCGCAGAUCAGCACGCUGCGGUGAAUACGUUCCCGGGCCUUGUACACACCGCCCG